RNAcentral lists this ribosomal RNA (734 nucleotides) under Bacillus sp. (in: firmicutes). RNAcentral's name for it is "bacterial SSU rRNA". It matches the Rfam family "Bacterial small subunit ribosomal RNA", at positions 57 to 761 of the family's 1533-position model. The record is from RNAcentral. Lineage: Bacteria; Bacillati; Bacillota; Bacilli; Caryophanales; Bacillaceae.
GCGACGUCGUAGCGAACUAGAUUAGAAGCUUUGCUUCUAUGACGACUGCUCGGGACGGGCGAGUAACAGGGGACCAACCUGGCUGUCAGACUGGGAUAACUUCGGGAACCGAAGCUAAUACCGGAUAGGACCUUCUCCUUCAUGGGAGAUGAUUGAAAGAUGGAUUCGGCAAUGACUUACGGAAGGGCCCGCGGCGCGUUAGCUAGUUGGCGAGGGUACGGCCCACCGUGGCAAGGAUGCAGAGCCGACCUGAGAGGGUGAUCGGCCACACUGGCACUGACACACGCCCCCGACUCGUACCGGAGGGAGCCGUUGGAAAUCUUCCGCAAUGGACGAAAGUCUGACGGAGCAACGCCGCGCGAGUGCUGAAGGCUUUCGGGUCGUAAAACUCUGUUGUUAGGGAAGAACAAGUACAAGAGGUACUGCUGUGUACCUUGACGGUACCUAACCAGAAAGCCACGGGUAACUACAUGCCAGCAGCUGCGGUAAUACGUAGCGUUGCAAGCGUAAUCCGGAAUUAUUGGCGCGUAAAGCGCGCGCCGCCGGUUUCUUAAGUCUGAUGUGAGAGUCCCACGGCGCACCCGCGGAGGGUCAUUGGAAACUGGUGAACUUGAGUGCAGAAGAGAAAAGCGCAAUUCCACGUGAAGACGUUGAAAUGCGUAGAGAUGUGGAGGAACACCAGUGAGCGAAGGCUGGCUCUUUUGGUCUGUCACUGACGCUGAGGCGCGAAAGGC